Molecule: long non-coding RNA, 1244 nt
Organism: Cyprinus carpio carpio
Lineage: Eukaryota; Metazoa; Chordata; Actinopteri; Cypriniformes; Cyprinidae
Source: Ensembl
AUCUGAGAUGAAUUGGCCACACUCCACGGGAAGCUGAAUAGGAAUGACAAGAAAAGGUCUCUGGGGGGUAGAGGGGCUGCACAAGAGUAAUGGCCCGGCUGUGGACAACAAACAUAUCCAUCCAUAUGACCCCUGAGACGGAGGCCUGAUGAUAAUUCCCAAAACACACUGCACUCGCACACACACAUGCACAUGCAUAGAGAGAGAGCACAGUGUGAGAGAGAGACACUCCCACACGCCCUUACCAGCACUGUGUUAUUUUAAACCAGCACAUUCCCUUAAAAUAAAAAGAAGAAAUAAAGAGGUGAAGUCUAUUUCAAAAGCAAACUCCCACACCUGGAGGACCUGUCAAGCACUGUCUGCUAUUGAGCUCCAGCACUAUAUCAAGCUAAUGGGGGGAAAAGUGGGUCAACAAGAAUUAUUCAUGAGGUUCCUCCAUUUAAAAGCAGACACUUUGUGUAUGUCUCAGAGAAAAAUAGAAAAAGUCUCAGACAACAUGGUUGAUGAGACACAUAUCUGAAUUAUAAAUCACACAAGUCAUUAGUUCAACCUGCUACUACAACUGAUGCUACCCGUAAUCGAUAAGCUAACAGCAUUCAGUUAGACAGAAGACGAGGCUAAACUACAAAAUGAUAACUAUUCGAUAUUCAUGGCAUGUUUAUUCAGCUUUAGUAUUUGCACAUCCUUUUUCAUGAAAAGAUUUUUAUGCAACAGAAUGGGGGCGGACUUAAUACUGGCUAUUCAAUAACCAAAAUUCACUUGCUUCAGUUACGACACACAGGAAGGAAAUUCUUUAAUAUGCAAUAUGGCCAAAAGACAGUUAUGAGAUUAAAUGGAGAGCACUGGAGACUUAAGUUAAGACUUAAGGAGGCUUAAGUUCUGUUUCUCCAAUUAUUCUCUGAGAAAAGACUACAAUAAUUUCAGAAGGGACCUGAGCAAUGUCUUAAAGGAAUAGUUUAUCCAAAAAUGAAAAUUACCCCAUGAUUUACACACUCUCAAGUCAUCCUAGGUGUAUAUGAUUUUAUUCUUUCAGACGAAUAUUAUCAGAGUUAUAUUAAAAAAUGUCAUGACUCUUAGAAGCUUUAUAAUGGCAAUGAAUGGGGGUUGAGAUUUUGUAGCACAAAAAAAUGGCAUCCAUCCAUCAUAAAAAGUGCUCCACACAGCACCAGCGGGUUAAUAAAGGACUUCUGAAGUGAAUCGAUGCAUUUGUGUAAGAAAAAUAUCCAUAUUGAAAACUUUAGAAA